AGUCGAACGGUAACAUGAACUAGCUUGCUAGUUUGAUGACGAGUGGCGGACGGGUGAGUAAUGCUUGGGAAUUUGCCUUGAGGUGGGGGACAACAGUUGGAAACGACUGCUAAUACCGCAUAUUGUCUACGGACUAAAGGGGGCUUCGGCUCUCGCCUUUAGAGAAGCCCAAGUGGGAUUAGGUAGUUGGUGAGGUAAAGGCUCACCAAGCCGACGAUCCCUAGCUGGUCUGAGAGGAUGAUCAGCCACACUGGAACUGAGACACGGUCCAGACUCCUACGGGAGGCAGCAGUGGGGAAUAUUGCACAAUGGGCGCAAGCCUGAUGCAGCCAUGCCGCGUGUGUGAAGAAGGCCUUCGGGUUGUAAAGCACUUUCAGUCGUGAGGAAGGGUUAGUAGUUAAUACCUGCUAGCUUUGACGUUAGCGACAGAAGAAGCACCGGCUAACUCCGUGCCAGCAGCCGCGGUAAUACGGAGGGUGCGAGCGUUAAUCGGAAUUACUGGGCGUAAAGCGUACGCAGGCGGUUAGUUAAGUCAGAUGUGAAAGCCCCGGGCUCAACCUGGGAACUGCAUUUGAAACUGGCUAACUAGAGUGCGGCAGAGGGUGGUAGAAUUUCAGGUGUAGCGGUGAAAUGCGUAGAGAUCUGAAGGAAUACCGAUGGCGAAGGCAGCCACCUGGGCCGACACUGACGCUCAUGUACGAAAGCGUGGGUAGCAAACAGGAUUAGAUACCCUGGUAGUCCACGCCGUAAACGAUGUCUACUAGCAGCUCGCCUCGUUAGAGGGGUUUUGCGCAGCUAACGCGUUAAGUAGACCGCCUGGGGAGUACGGCCGCAAGGUUAAAACUCAAAUGAAUUGACGGGGGCCCGCACAAGCGGUGGAGCAUGUGGUUUAAUUCGAUGCAACGCGAAGAACCUUAGCCAUCCCUUGACAUCCAGAGAAUUUUCUAGAGAUAGAUUAGUGCCUUCGGGAACUCUGAGACAGGUGCUGCAUGGCUGUCGUCAGCUCGUGUUGUGAAAUGUUGGGUUAAGUCCCGCAACGAGCGCAACCCUUAUCCUUAGUUGCUAGCAGUUAGGCUGAGAACUCUAAGGAGACUGCCGGUGACAAACCGGAGGAAGGUGGGGACGACGUCAAGUCAUCAUGGCCCUUACGGGAUGGGCUACACACGUGCUACAAUGGCAAGUACAAAGGGUUGCGAACUCGCGAGAGUAAGCGGAUCCCAUAAAGCUUGUCGUAGUCCGGAUUGGAGUCUGCAACUCGACUCCAUGAAGUCGGAAUCGCUAGUAAUCGUAGAUCAGAAUGCUACGGUGAAUACGUUCCCGGGCCUUGUACACACCGCCCGUCACACCAUGGGAGUGGGCUGCAAAAGAAGUGGGUAGUUUAACCUUCGGGAGGACG
This 1396-nucleotide ribosomal RNA is filed under the name Algicola bacteriolytica. RNAcentral describes it as "16S ribosomal RNA". It matches the Rfam family "Bacterial small subunit ribosomal RNA". The record is from RNAcentral. Lineage: Bacteria; Pseudomonadati; Pseudomonadota; Gammaproteobacteria; Alteromonadales; Pseudoalteromonadaceae.